Molecule: ribosomal RNA, 489 nt
Filed under: uncultured bacterium
Lineage: Bacteria
Description: bacterial SSU rRNA
Rfam family: Bacterial small subunit ribosomal RNA
Source: RNAcentral
ACGAACGCUGGCGGCGUGCCUAACACAUGCAAGUCGAACGAGAAUCUACUAUGAAAUUUCGGAUGGAUUAGGUAGAGGAAAGUGGCGAACGGGUGAGUAACGCGUGAGCAAUCUGCCUUGUACUGGGGGAUAACGUCGGGAAACCGGCGCUAAUACCGUAUAAUACUAUGAGAUCGCAUGGUCAUAUAGUCAAAACUCCGGUGGUACAAGAUGAGCUCGCGUCCAAUUAGCUAGUUGGUGGGGUAAUGGCCCACCAAGGCGACGAUUGGUAGCCGAACUGAGAGGUUGAUCGGCCACAUUGGGACUGAGACACGGCCCAGACUCCUACGGGAGGCAGCAGUGGGGAAUAUUGGGCAAAUGGGGGAAACCCUGACCCAGCAACGCCGCGUGAAGGAAGAAGGUUUUCGGAUUGUAAACUUCUGUCCUUGGUGAAGAGAAGAAGACGGUAGCCAAGGAGGAAGCCCCGGCUAACUACGUGCCAGCCGCAGC